This 445-nucleotide ribosomal RNA is filed under the name uncultured bacterium. RNAcentral describes it as "bacterial SSU rRNA". It matches the Rfam family "Bacterial small subunit ribosomal RNA", at positions 330 to 792 of the family's 1533-position model. The record is from RNAcentral.
CCCAGACUCCUACGGGAGGCAGCAGUGGGGAAUAUUGCACAAUGGGGGAAACCCUGAUGCAGCGACGCCGCGUGAAGGAAGAAGUAUUUCGGUAUGUAAACUUCUUUCAGCAGGGAAGAAAAUGACGGUACCUGACUAAGAAGCCCCGGCUAACUACGUGCCAGCAGCCGCGGUAAUACGUAGGGGGCAAGCGUUAUCCGGAAUUACUGGGUGUAAAGGGUGCGUAGGUGGCAUGGUAAGUCAGAAGUGAAAGCCCGGGGCUUAACCCCGGGACUGCUUUUGAAACUGUCAUGCUGGAGUGCAGGAGAGGUAAGCGGAAUUCCUAGUGUAGCGGUGAAAUGCGUAGAUAUUAGGAGGAACACCAGUGGCGAAGGCGGCUUACUGGACUGUCACUGACACUGAUGCACGAAAGCGUGGGGAGCAAACAGGAUUAGAUACCCCCGUA